UUCAAUAACCUAUUAAACAAUCAACCAACUAAUACCAAAAACUUCCAACAACGGAUCUCUUGGUUCUCGCAUCGAUGAAGAACGCAGCGAAAUGCGAUACGUAAUAUGAAUUGCAGAUUUUGUGAAUCAUCGAAUCUUUGAACGCACAUUGCGCCCGUGGGUAUUCCCGCGGGCAUGCGUGUGUGAGCGGUUAUCUCCCUCGCAGGUAAUGGACAUACGGCGUCAGCUGUUCCUCCAAAAAGUGAUUGGUGUAGUAUUACAGUUUACUCACAACCAUACUUUUUCCCUCACACACGUAAGACUACCCGCUGAACUUAAGCAUAUCAAUAA
This 330-nucleotide ribosomal RNA is filed under the name Diutina catenulata. RNAcentral describes it as "eukaryotic LSU rRNA". The stretch from base 40 to 192 matches the Rfam family "5.8S ribosomal RNA". The record is from RNAcentral. Lineage: Eukaryota; Fungi; Ascomycota; Pichiomycetes; Serinales; Debaryomycetaceae.